CCUACGGGGGGCUGCAGUAAGGAAUAUUGGUCAAUGGACGAAAGUCUGAACCAGCCAUGCCGCGUGGAGGAUGAAGGUCCUCUGGAUUGUAAACCUCUUUUAUAUGGGACGAAAAAAGGCCUUUCUAGGCCGUCUGACGGUACCAUAUGAAUAAGCACCGGCUAACUCCGUGCCAGCAGCCGCGGUAAUACGGAGGGUGCAAGCUUAAUCCGGAUUCACUGGGUGUAGGGGGUGUGUUGGUGGGGUGAUGAAAUCUCCGAGCUUAACUUGGAAACUGCCAUUGAUACUAUUAAUCUUGACUAUUGUGGAGGUUAGCGGAAUAUGUCAUGUAGCGGUGAAAUGCUUAGAUAUGACAUAGAACACCAAUUGCGAAGGCAGCUGGCUACACAUAUAUUGACACUGAGGCACGAAAGCGUGGGGAUCAAACAGGAUUAGAUACCCCUGUAGUC
This 449-nucleotide ribosomal RNA is filed under the name uncultured bacterium. Its description in RNAcentral is "partial 16S ribosomal RNA". It matches the Rfam family "Bacterial small subunit ribosomal RNA", at positions 338 to 795 of the family's 1533-position model. The record is from RNAcentral.